RNAcentral lists this ribosomal RNA (494 nucleotides) under uncultured bacterium. RNAcentral's name for it is "bacterial SSU rRNA". It matches the Rfam family "Bacterial small subunit ribosomal RNA", at positions 8 to 526 of the family's 1533-position model. The record is from RNAcentral.
AGAGUUUGAUCAUGGCUCAGGACGAACGCUUGCGGCGUGCCUAAGAAAUGCAAGUCGAACGGAUACCUUCGGGUAUUAGUGGCGAACGGUCGCGUAACACGUAAGCAACCUGCCCUAAAGUGGGGGACAACAGUCCGAAAGGACUGCUAAUACCGCAUGUGGAUGUUUGGCGGCAUCGCCUUUCAUCUGAAGUCUUCGGACGCUUUAGGAUGGGCUUGCGGCCUAUCAGGUAGUUGGUGGGGUAAUGGCCUACCAAGCCGACGACGGGUAGGGGGCCUGAGAGGGUGAUCCCCCACACUGGGACUGAGACACGGCCCAGACUCCGACGGGAGGCAGCAGUGAGGAAUAUUGGUCAAUGUGGGCAACCCUGAACCAGCAACGCCGCGUGGGUGACGAAGGCCUUCGGGUCGUAAAGCCCUUUUGCUGGUGACGAGCAAGGACGGUAACCAGGGAAUAAGUGUCGGCUAACUACGUGCCAGCAGCCGCGGUAAUUC